CAUGAUACAAAAUUUUGGUAUCACAUUUGAUACUAUAAAAUUUUUCUCAACUAAAAACCAUUAACUUCUACUCCUACUAAAAGCAUGAAAAAAACAAACAAACACACAAAUGGAUUGAAGAGAGUCAUCUCUUUCACCAAUCAUUAUCAACUAAUAAUCUAACCACAAUAUAAUCAAAACAGGUAAGAAUAUCAAAUAAUCGAAUCUUCAAAACUGUUGCAAAAACAAUGUCUUAAAAUCUG
Molecule: long non-coding RNA, 242 nt
Filed under: Vitis vinifera (wine grape)
Lineage: Eukaryota; Viridiplantae; Streptophyta; Magnoliopsida; Vitales; Vitaceae
Description: long non-coding RNA (VVIN_LNC007677)
Source: RNAcentral